RNAcentral lists this long non-coding RNA (11633 nucleotides) under Eucalyptus grandis. RNAcentral describes it as "long non-coding RNA (EGRA_LNC005717)". Lineage: Eukaryota; Viridiplantae; Streptophyta; Magnoliopsida; Myrtales; Myrtaceae. The record is from RNAcentral.
AAAGCAAAAAGCAAAAGGGGAGAGGAUUGGACAGUUACUGUUCAAUCAUCUUCUCCAUGCUUUGCUCCGUCCAUUUGCUGCUCCACACCGCCAGCGACGCUCCUGCCCAGACCGCUCAGCCAGCUUUGCACCCAAUCGCGACCCGACGCCACCGGAGCCCCAAAUCAGCCGCACCGCCGCGUUUUCCUCGCUCGCAGCAGCCGCGCCACCUGCAGCCCUUCGCCCGAGCCCCGACACUUGCAGAUCUGAGCUGGCCGCCGCACCUCCACCUUCCGAUCAAUCGGGUUUCUGCUGUUGACGCCACCGAAGUUUGCAUCGCCGGUCUGCUGCUCCGCCUUCUGCCAGAUCCGGACCCUUUGCUCUCGCCGUCGAUUGAAGUCCAGAUCCGCAUGCCGUUGCUCUCGUUCCAAUUGACCUGCAGCCGCGCCUCUGUCCCUAACGCCGACGGCCUGCUCUGCCUCUGCUAUCACCUAUCUACCGGCCCUGAGUCCUCUAUUGCAGCCCACUGUGACCCGCGACCUUCUGCUCGCUCGUUGCCGCACUGUUGCGCCCCUACUGCAGCUGUUUCACCAGUCACCCGAAGCUCUGCCCUGCUGAUCGCCGUCCGUGAAGCCCGACGUCUGAGCCGCUCCUGACUUGUUCAGCCGCUCGUCUGCGACUCCCCGACGCCGCUCUCUACCGAGUCGGAGUCCUGAGUCACCCGCACCGGCACCAGCAACCCGCGAGUCCCCAGUCUUCACGUUUCGGUCAGCCUCGCGACACCAAUCUGUCACUGUCGCGCACUGCCCUUCCCCCGACCCGACGCCUCAAAUCCCGAGCGCCGCCCGUCGCCCGUCGCCCAGCAGCCGGACCUAAGCCGAACCGCUGUCCGCGAAGCCACCACCGAUUCACCUCUUCACCGCUCGCCUGCUGCCAGUUCACCCUUGCUAAAGUUCCCUUGCCGCACUGAUCAACCGACUACUCUCGGAGGCCCACUAUUACACGUGGGAAAAGAAAGAAGAAAAACCCAAAAAAAAAAGAAAAAGGAAAAGGGAAUUAGGUAGAAUUUUAUCCAGUUAUAGUUUUGUUUCUUUUAUUUUCCUUUAUAUCUGGAUUUGUUUAGUGGAAUUGUUCCUCUUAAAUGUAUGAUUGAUAUUCCGACAUGAAAAAGUCCCUCAAACUAGGGAUUGACAGUCCGAUUUUCGCGUCCGAAAUCCAACUCGCAAUCUCUUACAAAAAUCGACAAUCCAAUCUCAAGCCCGAGAUUCGAUUCGCGAUUUAAUUUUAAAAUUGAUCAACCCGAUCUCAUGCGCGAGAUAUGGUUCGCCAAUUUUUGGAUAUCAAUAUUGUCUUGCUUGAUUUGAUGUCGUGGUGUUUGGAUCAAUUUUAUUUUCAUAAGAGGAAAAAAUAAAAAAUAAAAAUUCGAAUUAGGGUUAAGUUUGUUUUAGAAUAUUCCUAGUCUUAGGGUUAAAAUCGCAAUCUUAUUUCGAAUUUUUUAAAUGAGAAAAUAAAAAAAUCUGAAUAAGGAUUAGGUUUUUUUUUUAUAUAUUUAGAAUAAUAAUUUUAUUUUGAAUCAAGGAAAAGAAAACCAAAAAAAAAAAAAAAACAAAGCACAUUCAUUUAGGAUGUUAGUUUUAUCAUUAUUUGAAUUGCAUGAGAAAUUUUAAUUUCGAAAUUAAUAAAAGCACAAAAUGUCAUCAUGCAUAUAUCAUGUUGAAUUAGGGCAUUCUUUGCACAUCAUUGCAUGUUAGGAUUGCAUGUUUAUCAAUUAUAGGUAGAUAAUCUCUCCUAGAUAAAUUGCAUGUUUUGUUAGGAAAAUAAAAAUGUCCAUGUCAUAUAGAAUUAGGUUUACGAAAUGCACGUCAUUUAUUGAUUGUUGUUAGGUUCAUUUCUAAUUAGAAAUUGACCAUCAUUAAAUUAGGUCAUUUAAUAAAUGUCGCGUGACAUAUAGUUCGCAUAUUAAAUUGUAUGUUGCAUGUCAUUUUAGUUAAAAUAAUUUUGUACGUCAUUGCAUUGCAUUGCACGUCAUUAGAAUUAAGUCAUUUUGGUUAAUUUAGAUUGCAUAUUUAACAAUUACAUGUUUAUUAAGAGAUCAUAAAAAUUUUAUACAUAUAGUUUAGGACAUGUUGCCAUGCCAUAUCAUUUCAUAUUAGAUUAAAAGCAUUCCAUUGCAUAUGGAUUAUAGUCUCGUUAAAAAGUGAAAAAAAAAAAAAGGAAAUUGCGUGUUAAUUAGAAACCAUAUCUAGGGUUGUUGAUGUGGAUUUUAAUUUAACAUUGCAGAUGCUUUCGUUGCUUUGAGGUAAGUCCUGCAUUAUUUAAUUGAUUUCUUGGGUGUUAAAUUGGUGGUUUGCGCACCUGCAUGAACACCUCACAUGUUAGGGAAUUAAUUUAAAAUCAAUUUAAGCUGCCUGCAAAACCUUUUUUUCAAAAAUAAAAGAAAUGGUACCGAAAGGGCGUUAGAGAAAUCUAGCGUAAUCAAGUCCCCGUACCCAAAUCUCUGGUUCGUAGAAGUAAAGUGAAUCUUCCGUUACUUUACUUGGGUUUCUAAUCGACCCACCAAAAAAUAGAUUAGUGGCGACUCCUAGUUAAAAUUCAAUUGCAUGUUAACAAUUCAAACUUAAGUCGCGAAUUGGUAUGGGCUUGGGAGAGCCCGAGUUAAGUCUAGGCUUAACAAUCCAUUAGCCAAACCCUAGGUGGUUCACACCCUCAAAAAAAAAAUCGGUCGCGACAGCUUGGCGACUCCGCUGGGGAUUUGAGUUAAAACUUGUAGUGGACUUAGGCCAAUUUUUCUUUUCUUUUGAAAAAUGUUUUUGUUUGGCAGCGAGGUGUUCAUAAAUUUCUAAACGCAAGUACACAUAUCGAACAAGUAAUAUAAUGAUGAGAAAAAGUAUCGUCCCAUAGAGAUCGAUGAUUAAUAAACCAAUUAAAUACUAAAAUAGAGUAAUUCUAAAGUUUAUCUAACAGAUCAAAAUAUAAUUAAGAAUAAAUUAAAAACGAAAUUUGUAGACUAAAUGCAGUAAAUCGAUAAGAUAAAUAUGUUAGAGCAUCCGAUUUCACCAUAACCACUAGAUAUGAAUUUCAUAUCGUUAUGAGUACAAGAACGAUAUCAAACAUGUGAUAGCAGAAUUUCCUAAUCUAUUUACUAUCAUAUCUCUAGGAAUAGCAAACCUACUCAGCUUAUUAAUCCACUAUAUCUCUAUGUGAAUUAAAAUAAACAUGAGUGCAUUAAAAACUAUGAAUAUUCCCGGUUUACAAUGAGUCUUUUGGAUCACCUUAUCACCGAAAGCUACACAAAUAACGUGGUAUAUUUCUAUCCACGUUUAAUUCAUGGUUAUAUAUUAUAAUGAGCAAUUGCAUAUUAUCACCUCUCAGUCUCAAACAUGCACAUCAGAUCAUUCAAGUGGUGGCCAGUCACUCAAAAGCAUUAAACGCAAUAAUAUAUAACUCACAUGAAUGAAAUCAAUUGUAAAACAUAAAAAUCAUGAAAUUCAUAUCAUCAUGGUUAGGCUACAUCGUAGCCCUAACAAAAGAAAAUUAGAACAUAGUAGAAGAAGAAAUAAAAAUAUAGAUCAAACCCAGCAUCUUGAAUUAAAGGACAAGAAUUUUGUCACCACUUUUCUCUUCUCUUCAAAAUACUUGAAAAACUCUCAGAAGAAUAAAAAAAAAACGAUCUAACUCUAACCCUAAAAAACCCUAGCUACUCUCUCUAUCUCUAUUUAUAGGAUAUAUCCAAGAUAUCUAUCUCCCAACGCUUGCAGAUAACAUUAGGGAACAAAAUCAAGAAUUUCCUGAUUUGAUAUCCAUCUUUCACUGCUUCUUUUAUUUGAAUUCCUGAUAGUUACCAUUCUUUUCCUUAUCCUCUUCAUAUCUCAUUAUUAUGCAUAAACAAGGAAAAUUCAAAUAAUCAGAAGGAAAUCCAAAUAUUUUCUCACAGAUAAUGCAUUAAUUACUGCCUCAAAUAGGUAAAAUAACUCUAUUUUUAUAGAGUUAUCACAAGGACUCCAGGUACGCCCCUAACAAUUAAGGUGUUAAAUGUUCUUGCAGGAUGGGAGGUAUAAGGGGAAGUGUUUGCUAACCUUUAUUUUGCAGGGAGGUGUAGGAAUGUAUGGUUUAUUUUCAUGAACGAAGUGUUGUUUGAUUUAAACUGUUGUACAUGCUUUGCAUUUAUCACUACACUUUGCACACACAACCUGCCGCCGGACCUGGGCCGCAUAGGAUCAUUUAGGAUGGUAUUGAGAUGGAUACCGCUCCGACCGCAUGCUCGCGGUACGAGUCGCCCAUCUCAAUCCCGAAGUUUCUUUCAUGGUGUCAAGAGUACUCACCUCGGUUCGCAUGCCCGCGACUCGGGUUGGCUCUUUGACCAAGCCAGAGUCAUGAGGACCCGACAUAGUCCACAAGCCCGUGGCUAGUCUGAUCAUCCUUGUGGCUCCACCUUGCUAAGCCUUAUAAAUUAGAAAUCGAGCCACUUACCAUGUGCAUGUCUAUGUGAUUGCCAUUGAUUUUUCUUGGUAAAGUAAGUUUUCUAUCCCUAUACGUGCAAUUUAUUUUGUCAUGCUUUUGGUCUGUCCAUGACAAUCUAGGAUAGUCAUUUGAUCUAAUUCCUUUCAAGAAGGAAAUGAGGAAAUUGCCAUGCAAUAAAUCAUUUGGAAAAUAAAAAACUUUGGAGAAUUUGUUUUCAAUUCAUGUCUAGAAAAAUUGAUCUUACUAGGAUGUCUAUUUUUCUAGCUCUCUUUAGGAAAUUCCCUUCUUGUAAGAGCUUUUCAUGAAAAAAAAAUGAUGAAAAAAAAGUUGAUAGAUCAUUGUCAUGGGUUGAUUCUUUAUUUGCACCUUGUACUUAUAUAUUUUCAUUCAUUUGGAUUAGGUGAUAACGGAUCUUCCACGUUCGCCCAUCAUUACACGAUCGAGAGCAAAAAUGGCCGACCAAGCCGAAAUGCGAGAUCGUAUGUCUGCCGUGGAAGACCAACUCAAACAGUUGCUCACCUCUAUGCAACUUAUGAUAACUCAAAUGCAAUCUCUCCAAGUGAAUCAAACCCUUGCGCCCACUCUCCCCGAGAUUGUAGUCCCAAAGCAAACGAACAAGGCUCAAAUUGAUGAUGACGACAUGCCUGAACUGGAGGAUAACCCACUGUUUGUCACUACCGAAAAGGUUAAGCCCGACAAUGUCCCUAAGGCAGAACAGGAUGAACGCUUUACCAAACUUGAAGAGAAACCGAAACAAUUGCAAGAGUCGCGGAGUUCACUCCCAUUUGACUUGUCAGUUUACGAGAAAGUCAAGAUGCCGAAAAAGUUUAAGAUGUCGGAGUUCGAGAAAUACGACGGUACUUCCUACCCAAAGGCUCAUUUGCAAAUGUACCACGUACGCAUGGCCCAGUAUGUCAAGAAUGAGCCUCUCAUGAUCCAAUCAUUUCAUGCAAGUUUGACUGGGCCCGCUUUGAAUUGGUAUGUGAUGAAGAAUGUGAACCUCCUCGACACCUGAAACAAAGUGGCUGACGCGUUCCUCAAACAAUACAAGUUCAAUAUGGACAUCGCACCUUCCCGAGAGGAUCUUGAGAGAAUGGAGAAGAAGAAGAGCGAAUCAUUCAAGGAGUAUGCCAUGAGAUGGCGAAAUGUGGUAGCUCAAAUCACUCCUGAGCCUACUGACAAGGAAUUGAUGAAGUUGUUCAUCAAAACUCUUCCAUCUGAGUUCCGUAACCGGAUGGCUAGUACAUAUGUCGAAAACUUCAACCAACUUGUUCCCGUGGGAGAACAAAUUGAGAUGGGGAUAAGAGAUGGGUCGUUUACUGAGCCAUCUAACAGAAGGUUUUCUACCAAGAGGGAGAAGGACCUUGAAGUUGAGAUUAAUAUGACAUAUUCUCAACCAAAUCGUGAUCGCACUCCAAUAGUUAAGAUUUCUACUGAGCAACAAGGUGGAGAACAUCAGCUCCCUAAUCGACGACGUAAUGUCAGAAGACAGUUCACACCUCUUCCUGGGCCCCUAUCCAAAGUUUUGCCUAUCCUCCAAAAGAAGGGAUUACUUUCUUCGGAGCCAAAGCAACCAAAUCCUGAGCAUUAUCCUGCAUAUAAUCCCUCCGAAAAGUGUGACUAUCACACGGGAGAGGUUGGUCACUCCACUGAUGAUUGCUAUGUUUUGAAACAUAAGGUCCAAGAUCUCUUGAAUACAAAGGCAUUCUCUUUCAGCAGUAAUCAGAAAAAUCCUCUGCCCAACCAUGAUGAAGGCGCAAACGCUGUCACUGAGUGAAGAAGUUCUUAUCUCCUAGGAUUUCAAGUUUUGUUUAGGAUUCUCUGCUUUUUGAAAUUUCAAUUAUUGCUUUCACUUUUAGGGUUUAGCUUGUUUGCAUUUUCCAUUCCAAUAAUGUAAUUCACUUGAUUCUAUUCUAUGAAAUUAUAAUUUUAUUUCAAAUUUUGAGGACAUGACGGGGUACUCCAAACCAGUCCAAUGACGAUAUCCAACCAUGAAAGAAAAUAUCAUCCACGGAGAAAUCCUAAGGGCUGGACUUUCUCAUGUUUCCUCCCAAAAACCUUUUCGAAAACAAAAAAGCAUUUCAUUGUAAAAAAAAAAAAAAAAAACAUUUUCCCAAAGCUUGUAGCAGAUUAAACCUAUUUGUUUGUCUGACUCAUUUGCUUCUUGUCUCAGAACAUGAUUCUAUAACUUGUUAUGACAAGGGACAUCUGAGAAUGGCGUAUCAAGUUUCAAUGAUCAUAAACUUGACUUGUGAUCAACAGGUUUAGAGCGCACUUGUAAUGAAAAAGAUUUGGGGCAAGUAAAAGAGGACCAUCAUUCCUUGGUGGAAGAGUUGACAAAUUGGGGGCAUGAUAGGUUUUGGUAGUGACCCGACUGGGAUAAAGUCUUCACCCGAGCCAAAAUGGAUGUGCAAUUUGAAUUUACUUUGAUGUUGCAUAGUAUCAUAUUGAUGCAUGUUCUCUUAUGCAGGGGCAAAAGUGGAUUUUUAGUCUUGAAUGAUAGGGACAAUCCAAAGACAUCAACUGCUGAGGCAAUUCUCAUUGUAGAGGAAUCCUUGAAUGAAUGCUUAAACCAUUUUGCAGUAUAGAAAAUUGUUUGAAGUUGACAUGCUUGAAGCUGUUGAAUUCUUUAAAAAAAAAAGGAUUUUGCAUGAUGACUGUUACAUGUUUUAUCCACUAAUUCCACUAAAGAACAUCAAGAUGGACUAAUUUAAUGAAUGAUGUGGAAUUGAUUGAGCAUACUAAAUGAGACGAGUCGGGAUGAUGAAAGGCAAACCAUAUCCUAUACACAGUCCCAUAUUCAUACACUUGUGAGAUGAGUGUAGGAAGGUUCAUAUCCAUAAGGUAAAGAGUUCUCUCGCAAGAGGUACGGCAACCGAAAUGAUGAGAUGCAAUUCAUUUCUCUAUCCCAAACGCUACAAAGGAUCCAUUGCUUAACCCUUUUGAGCCCAUACACUUAUGGAUAUUCUUUUCAAAUCACCCCUGUCAAGAAUCACCCCACAUCAGGGCAACUAGGAGAUAAAAUGGCAUCAUGAGGUGAGGAAAAUGAAUUGAAAUUUUCUUGCUCUCACUUGCAUCAAUCUUCAAGUCGUGCUAUUACAUUGAAUUCAUGUGUUAAUUUAAAUGCCUUGGGAUGACGAAGAGUAUUUCUUUCUCUAUCAUAUACACUUAUAUCCUUUGCAUAUCCCACUUGAGCCUGCAAUUUCAUUUCUUUAAACCCAAUUGGUGAUCAUCCCCCACACUAGGGCAAGGCAAAAGGCAGAUGAGGACCUUUGAAAGUUCAAAUGCCAUUCAAAGUGUAAUUGCUUGACGCAUGCAUUGUGCGCAAGAAUUGAAUUCAAAAUAGAACUAAGGGGCAUGAAAAAGCAGUGUGCUUGGUAAAAGCAAGGCCGAUGCCUAUGAAAAGAAGUGAAGAAAAAAUGCAUGAGAACUAGGGGCAUAAAAAGCGGUGUGCUUGGUAAAAGCAAGGCCAAUGCCCAUAGAUGAAAAAAGAAAGUUAAGAUAGGUAAUUGUCAAUUACAAGAAUUGAAUCUCAAUGGAGCAAUACUCAAAGAACUCAAAUGCCGAGUUUCUACAAUCAAUGGAGGACUUCAUGAAGACAAUCCCCGAUGGUAAAAAAACUGGUGGCAAUGUCAAGAUGAUCAUCAACUCUCACCUUUUGCACACAUUUUGAGCCUAAUGAUCCUUUCAUUUCUCAACCCAUGAACCCAACCUACGUUACGUCCCUUAACAAAGUCUCUUCAGAUUAGGGUACUUGAAUUAAUGUAGGAGUUCAUAUGUUUAUAAGCAUCGCUCGAAGAAGUGCGAGCAAGAUUAUUUCUUUUUCAUUUUGCAGGGUUCUUGACUUGUAAACCCGGAGAUGAUUACAAGACAGUUCAUUCAAUAGCUUUGACUCAAAGAGUCCUUUUGUUAAGCCGUUGACCAAGCCCACAUUAUGGUCCCUGUUAAAGACCUCUCAGAAUGGUAAGAUCGUACUGCUUGCGAGAAUACUCGGACCCAUAUCGAUAUGAUAAAAUUGAGUGAUUCGCAUAAAAUAGCCAUUCUAAAUGAGAGUGAGCGAAAGUCCUUUCUAACUGAAAGUCUCUCAUUUACUAUUCUUAAGAAAUCCAUGUCAGGAGUGAAGAUUGUCUUGAAUGAUAAUUCUCUCCAAUGGAAAUUUGGGUGAUGCAAAGGUCAUUAUGCAUAAACCUCGAUUGAGUUGAUGAAAACCUCACUGAAUUUUGAAAUUUGCAUUCUAGAGUAGCUUAGAUUGUCUAUGUCUUUGAUGAAUGCAUAUCAGUUUUUGCUCUAAAUCAUGUCUGACAAGUAAUUCAAGUUCCUUUCAGAAUGUUUCAUGAUAUUAGGAGAUAAGAAACCUCCAUCAUGAGGUGAAAGACCUCCAUAGGAUAUCUAAAUUCCAAAAGACAUAUCCCCAAGAAUCAGAGAUAUCACCAGGUAAGUAUAUCUCUACCAUACUCUAAAAUACUUGUCAUUGUGCAGGUAUUCUCUCUCAAAUGCAUCGACACUUGACUUGGUCAAGCUGUCCAGUUAUAUUGACUUGGCGUGCUUUCGUAGCCCAGAGUCAUUUUCAUCGACUCGAUGUGCUUCCGUAGCCCGAUGUCGCCUUUAAUAGACCCGACGUGUUUCUGUAGCCCGGAGUUCUUGACAUGGUGUGUUUUUGUAGCCCAGUGUCCCUUUUCAUUAACUCGGCGUGCUUCUGUAGCCCAAUGUCCUUUAUUGACCUAGUGUGCUUUCGUAGCCCAGAGUCCCUUUCAUUGACCCGGCGUGCUUUCAUAGCCCGGUGUUCCUUUUCAUGACCUGGCGUGCUUUUGUAGCCCAGAGUCCCUUUCAUCUACCCGGCAUGCUUUCGUAGCCCGGAAUUUCUGACCUGGUGUGUUUCAGUAGCCCAGUGUCCUUUAUAUUGACCCGGCGUGCUUUCGUAGCCCGGAAUUUCUGACCUGGCGUGCUUUCGUAGCCCAGAGUCCUUCUCAUCGACACGGCAUCUUCAGUAGCCCGGUGUCCUUUAUAUUGACCUAGCGUGCUUUCAUAGCCCAGUGUCCAUUUUCAUUGACUCGGCGUGCUUCCGUAGCCCCGUAGCCCGAUGUCCCUUUUAAUAGACCCAACGUGCUUCUGUAGCCCGGAGUUCCUGACCUGGCAUGCUUUCGUAGCCCAGAGUCCCUCUUUAUUGACCCGGCGUGCUUUCGUAGCCCAGGUUCCAUUUUAUCGAACCGGCGUGCUUCCGUAGCCCAGUUUUCUUUUAUCGACCUGGCGUGCUUUCGUAGCCCAAAGUCCUAAACACCGACACUCGAUCGAGCUGUCCCCCAAAGAUUUUUCUCCAGAUUCAGUCUGAUUAAGGCGACCGAAGAAAGGUUCGGGUCCUGGUCAGAUAAUCUAUGCUACAACGUUAGGCGACCAAAGAAAGGUUCGGGUCCUAGCCAAGCAAAAUCUCAGUUUAGGCGACCGUAGAAAGGUACGGGUCCUAGACAACCUUAUUGCUCUAACAGGCGACCGUAGAAAGGUACGGGUCUUGGAAAAGCAAUUACCUCAGUUCAGGCGACCGUAGAAAGGUACGGGUCCUGGAAAAUGAUUCAUCAUUCAUGCGCAGGCGACCGUAGAUAGGUACGGGUCCUAGAAAGCGAAUCCCCAUUUAGGCGACCGUAGAAAGGUACGGGUCCUAGACAACCUUAUUGCUCUAACAGGCGACCGUAGAAAGGUACGGGUCCUAGAAAAGCAAUUACCUCAAUUCAGGCGACCGUAUAAAGGUACGAGUCCUGGAAAAUGAUUCCUUAUUCAGGCGACCGUAGAAAGGUACGGGUCUUGGAAAGCGAAUUCCCGUUUAAGCGACCAUAGAAAGGUACGGGUCCUAGACACAACCAAACACUGCCCUACUAGGCGACCGUAGAAAGGUACGGGUCCUGAACAUGUAACAGCAACUAUCUUGAAUCACUCUACCCUCUUUGAAGGUAAGAUAUUCCAGGUAGGUUCCUUUACCAUUUGCAUACAAAUUGCAUUCCAAAAUUUUGACAUCUCAGUCUGGAUCUAGACGUCUUAAUUCUUUUCGUUAAACAUUUCACUUUGAAUGUGAUUGUUUUUCGAGCUUCUUCGUUAUACCUUAAUCUGGAUCUAGGUAUUUCGAGUUUUAAUCUUGACAUCUCAGUCUGGAUUUGGAUGUCUCAAUCUAUUACAUGUUACGCUUUUCAAGGAACCUGAGUGAGAGUUGGGUACUUGUGGAGUAAAUAGAGAUUUAUCAUGUACCUCAAGAUGCUUUACCGCACUGAUUGGUAAGUAAUUGUAGGUACAUUCUUUCCUUUGACAUCAUGCAUUUGCAUUAGCAUUUCCAUGCACCAUAUGAAUUGCAUUUUUUUUUUUUAAAUGGGAUACAUUUCCCGACAAAAAAAAUCAUUCAGUGCAUGUGCAUAGUCAAAAUUUAGGUCUCAAUUUGUCUUUGAAGGCAACCUCUUCAAGCUCACCUUCAAAGAGGGGCAGCUGUUGACACCUAAAUUUUAACGGCCCGUUUAGUCAUUUAUCGCAUUAAAAUUAGGGUUUAAUUUUAUCAAAAAUAUAUAUAUGUUAAUUGCGUAGCAUAUAGGUGCAUUUUUAUUAUUUUAUUUUAAUUGGUGUUUUAUUUAUUGGACCGGUGCGGAUGGGUUCAAAUUAGUUAGAUUAAGCCCACGAAGCGAGCAAGUUGGCCAAAGCCCAUGUCUUUUAUUAAUUGAAAAUUAUCUCGUAGGAAAAUAAAAAUUUUCUAAAUUUUUCCGGGAUAUGAAUCUUUUGGAUAAGGCACAUGUGUAAAAAAAUAUUGCGAUUUAUCUUUGCAAGAUUUGGAUUUCGAGAAAAUAUUUAUCGAAUUCUUAUCAAUAGGUGAUUAGUUGGUGAAAAGUAUCGCAGAUGUAGAUUUGAAGGGAGAAUCGAAAAUCUAUCUCCUACCCCUAUAAAAGCAACAGUGUACUACGAUGAAGAGGGGGGGGCCUUUUGAUCCGAAGGAAAAGAACACAAAAAGUAAAAAGCAAAAAGCAAAAAGCAAAAGGGGAGAGGAUUGGAUAGUUACUGUUCAAUCACCUUCUCCACGCUUUGCUCCGUCCAUUUGCUGCUCCACACCGCCAGCGACGCUCCUGCCCAGACCACUCAGCCAGCUUUGCACCCAAUCGCGACCCGACGCCACCGGAGCCCCAAAUCAGCCGCACCGCCGCGUUUGCCUCGCUCGCAGCAGCCGC